GUUUUGUCCUGGUACAUCUAGUCGACAUUGAGUUUUUGCUUCAGUUUUAUUUUCUGUUUUACUCUGGCUGCGCCGCUUUUGCUUCUGCAACCUGUAAUUCGAGAUUUUUCCAAGUUAUUCAGAUUUCGCAUUUGAUUUCAUCUAUCAUCUUGUUUCUCUACUCUUUAUCUCUUUACUUAUGCAAUAUCAUCAUUUAUCUGCGUUUAUGUCUUUGAGCAUGUUGUCUGAGUAGUGACAUAAAGUUCUUAAGGAUGGGAUAGAAUAGUUGUGGAAUCCUUAGUCUGUAGAAUGGUUAAGUUUUAGAAUUGAUUGAAUCCCUUCACGACUAGUUGUGUUUACUGCUUAUUUCUUUCUAAUCAACUGAAAUUCCAUCUAAAGCAUUCCCGCACCCAGAAGGUGUUUGAUGGAAUGCUUGAUCCACUAGUUCAUGAGAUAUUCGUCUUUAUCCCAAGGGAUUGGCCGUAUAGAGCGUUUAUUGACUUUAUCAGUCUGUUCUUAUUGCCUGCAUAGUUAGAUUCCGUUAAUGGGAAUUAGUUUGGGCUAGCUUUGCUUGAGGAUUUCUAUCACGGGAUUGAAUUGAUUUGUUGUUGAACAUGUUGUCUAGGGAUAGCUUGAUUGCGCUUGUUAACUGAUAUAACCCGAUUUUCACUGAUUUUAUCUAUGUUUUAGGUAUAGGAUUUUGAGUCUUUAUGUUAUUUCUCGACACCAGUUUCGGCCCAGCAAAAGUCCUAGACGCUUUCGAGUUUACAGAAGAGGAAAUUUACCCCAGAAGACUUCCCUAUUUGCAUUAUUAGUCCCUGGACGUUUUUAGGGUCUAUAUAUAUUGUUUCUAGCCCU
RNAcentral lists this small RNA (837 nucleotides) under Arabidopsis thaliana (thale cress). RNAcentral describes it as "ATSL262860". Lineage: Eukaryota; Viridiplantae; Streptophyta; Magnoliopsida; Brassicales; Brassicaceae. The record is from RNAcentral.